CUACGGGGGGCUGCAGUGGGGAAUAUUGGACAAUGGGGGGAACCCUGAUCCAGCCAUGCCGCGUGUGUGAAGAAGGCCCUCGGGUUGUAAAGCACUUUCAGUGAGGAAGAACGCCUGGUGGUUAAUACCCAUCAGGAAAGACAUCACUCACAGAAGAAGCACCGGCUAACUCCGUGCCAGCAGCCGCGGUAAUACGGAGGGUGCGAGCGUUAAUCGGAAUUACUGGGCGUAAAGCGCGCGUAGGUGGCUUGAUAAGCCGGUUGUGAAAGCCCCGGGCUCAACCUGGGAACGGCAUCCGGAACUGUCAAGCUAGAGUGCAGGAGAGGAAGGUAGAAUUCCCGGUGUAGCGGUGAAAUGCGUAGAGAUCGGGAGGAAUACCAGUGGCGAAGGCGGCCUUCUGGACUGACACUGACACUGAGGUGCGAAAGCGUGGGUAGCAAACAGGAUUAGAUACCCUUGUAGUC
RNAcentral lists this ribosomal RNA (464 nucleotides) under Vreelandella stevensii. RNAcentral describes it as "partial 16S ribosomal RNA". It matches the Rfam family "Bacterial small subunit ribosomal RNA", at positions 339 to 795 of the family's 1533-position model. Lineage: Bacteria; Pseudomonadati; Pseudomonadota; Gammaproteobacteria; Oceanospirillales; Halomonadaceae. The record is from RNAcentral.